AUGUGUAACCCAUGGGUGGCGUGGUUAGGAGUGCUACCACUCUUUAUCCUAUUAACUCAGGCAGCCCUCAAACCAGCAAUGCCUCCGGUGAUCAAGAGCCAGCCUUUCAACAUUUUCUGGGCAGCCCCAACAAUGUAUUGUAUGCCUUCCUUCAACGUGGAUAUAAAUCUUCAAGUAUUUAACAUUAUAUCAAAUCCUUUAGAGACUCAGAGUGGGUCAAAAAUUGCCAUAUUUUAUCCAAAUGAAUUAGGGUAUUACCCUUACUUAUCUCAAGAUGGAAAAUCCUUUAAUGGAGGAAUACCGCAGAAUGUGAGCCUUUCUGAACACCUUAGGAAAACUGCUGAUGACAUUGGAGAAGGUGUCCCUUGGUGGAGAUCAGAAGAACUUGUUGUUAUUGACUGGGAAAGUUGGAAACCCCAAUGGGAUAGAAAUCAGGGCAGCAGAAUAAUAUAUAAAAACCACUCUUUAGCCUUCACUAGAAACCAUCAUCCUUAUUGGUCAGAAAUGAAAGUGGAAACAGUUGCCCGAGAGGAAUUUGAAAAUGCUGGAAAAAAUUUCAUGAACAUUACUCUCACAUUGGCUUUAGAAAUGAGACCAAAAUGUUUAUGGGGCUUUUAUCUCUAUCCAGACUGCUACAAUUAUGAUUACAGAAUAAAUCCAGAGACGUACACAGGUAAUUGUCCAAAUUGUGGCUGUGGGAAAAAAGCGCAGCACUUUAUCCUUCAAUACAUUUGGAUAAAAUACUGAAGUCAAGCUUAAAUGCUUUGAAAUUUGUUCACUAUCGAGUUAGAGAAGCCAUGAGGGUUGCUGAAAUGGCUAGACAUGACUAUGUUUUGCCAGUUUUUAUUUUUUCCAGACCAUUUUAUUUGCAUAGUACUGAAGCUCUGUCACAGGAGGACUUAGUGCAUGCAAUUGGCGAAAGUGCAGCAUUGGGGGCAGCAGGAGUAAUAUUGUGGGGAGGAUAUGAAUAUUCUGCUUCAAAG
RNA transcript from Homo sapiens (human), 983 nucleotides. It is a transcript of the gene named hyaluronidase 6, pseudogene, with no coding region annotated. The transcript is spliced from 2 exons. Lineage: Eukaryota; Metazoa; Chordata; Mammalia; Primates; Hominidae. The record is from RefSeq and is marked provisional.